This 1469-nucleotide unclassified non-coding RNA is filed under the name Priapulus caudatus. RNAcentral describes it as "wW domain-containing adapter protein with coiled- coil-like, transcript variant X1". The record is from RNAcentral. Lineage: Eukaryota; Metazoa; Priapulida; Priapulimorpha; Priapulimorphida; Priapulidae.
AUGUGUCAUGGCGUCCAUCUGUCAUCGUCGUAAUCUUAUGUUCUCUGACAAUUAAAGUUUAUUUUGGUCCCAAUCGUAUACAAAUACAAUAUUUACCCUGACCAACAUUAUACUUGCAUUGAUGGUAAUGCAUGCAAGGAAAAUUCCAAGACUCAGCGAUGGGUAUCAUGAAUCGUUAGAAACCCAUCAGAUCAAGAGUCUGGGGAAGUAUGCUAGUCCAACAAAUAAUGGAACUCCGGCUCGAAAAGCUGACAGCCCUAUUAGCAAGGAAGACUCCAGAAGUCCACAUUCAUAUCAUCACAAGUCCUCAUAUGCCCAGAGGCAACGAGAGAAGGAACGAGAACGUGAAAAGGAAAAAGACCGAGAGCAGCUCAAAAGUAGAGGAAAUGGUCAUGAUAACAGUGGCAAAUUAGAUAGCAAGACAAGUAGCAGUCACCACUUAACACCAAAGGCUGUCAAUGACAACCGCAAUACAAAUCAUGACAGGACCAAGCUUGAAACGUUCGGUGACUGGUCUGAGCAAAUCAGCUCUUCGGGUAAGAAGUAUUACUACAAUUGUAAGACUGAAGUAUCGCAGUGGGAAAAGCCCAAAGACUGGAUAAACCGGUGGAUAACGACUGGAGAGAAUCCGUUUGGGCCCACGACAUCUAGCAACACGCCGCUUGAGCUGCCAGAUCCAAAGAUGAAGGAAUUGAGUAGAGGCUACUCCCAUACUGAUAGGCAUGAGAAACAUUCCAGUGACAGAAGACCAGCAGAACAUUCAAGACAGCAUAGAAACAAUUCGCUAUCUCAAAACAGCGAUUCAGGCCACCGGAUGUCUCAUGCGCAUGCUCAAGCGCAGGAGGUGGAGCGAUCACGCCAACGGUGUUCAUCGGGCAACCAGGAUCCGCGCAGUUUGUCGAUGUCACCAGGCAGCACUCCGACGGAGAUGCGCGACACGUUAGCCGGUGCAGCACAUGCGGCGGUCGCGGCCCAGAUCAUCUCUCAGCUGGCCACCAGCGCCGGCAAGCACGAAAUCACAGCUCAAGAAGCUCUGCAGACGAUACAGCAGGCUCUACUGUUCUCACAGCAAACAAGUGGUGCACAUACUUCAGUAAUGUCGUCGCACCCACUGCCGUCUCAGAGUGUCUCGCACAUCUCGCCUCGACCAGCUGGCGCCCCACCUCCAGUACACAUGAUACCUCUGCCCACAGGUGACCCGGGAGAGGAUGAUGCCUACAGAAGCCCAUCCGAAGCUAGCCGAGGGACAUCUGGGCCAAUCGAUUCAGCGAAGAAGCCAAUGGGUACGGCAACCUACAGUGCACGCAGGUGUCAGCUGAGCUGAAGUCGGCGCGAUCCAUGGUGCGAGUGCAGGAAAUUAUGUCAACUCUGCAGGAGCAAAGAGUUUUAUUUUUACGAGAGCAGAUAGCAGACAACGAGGAGUCAAAAAAUAAGAAUUCCUUCAUGUAGCAUAGCCCAGUUCUUUGUAC